AAAAAAUACAGUUUUACAUUAUUCAUGUUCAAUAUUUGAUCCUUUAUUUUAUUUGAAUUUUUUUAUGAUUAGUAUUUCGUUGUUGUUAGAUGAUAAAAUAUAAAUAGUACUUUGUGUGUGACUAAUUUUUUUAAUUUUUUUAUAAAUUUUAUAAAUAAGAUGGAUGAUCAAACGUUAGAAACGAAUAUCCACAACUAGAACGGAU
This 205-nucleotide microRNA precursor is filed under the name Oryza punctata. RNAcentral's name for it is "MIR812 microRNA precursor family". It matches the Rfam family "MIR812 microRNA precursor family". The record is from Rfam by way of RNAcentral. Lineage: Eukaryota; Viridiplantae; Streptophyta; Magnoliopsida; Poales; Poaceae.